Nematostella vectensis (starlet sea anemone) is the source of this 82-nucleotide non-coding RNA. The record is from Rfam. Lineage: Eukaryota; Metazoa; Cnidaria; Anthozoa; Actiniaria; Edwardsiidae.
GUUCCGGUGGCCGAGUGGUUAAGGCGUUGGACUCGAAAUCCAAUUGGAUCUUCCCGCGCAGGUUCGAAUCCUGCCCGCAACG